UACGUAGGGUGCGAGCGUUGUCCGGAAUUAUUGGGCGUAAAGAGCGUGUAGGCGGCCAGGUAGGUCAGCUGUGAAAACUCGAGGCUCAACCUCGAGACGUCGGUUGAAACCACCUGGCUAGAGUCCGGAAGAGGAGAGUGGAAUUCCUGGUGUAGCGGUGAAAUGCGCAGAUAUCAGGAGGAACACCGGUGGCGAAGGCGGCGUUCUGGACUGCAACUGACACUGAGGAACGAAAGCCAGGGGAGCAAACGGG
RNAcentral lists this ribosomal RNA (253 nucleotides) under uncultured bacterium. Its description in RNAcentral is "partial 16S ribosomal RNA". It matches the Rfam family "Bacterial small subunit ribosomal RNA", at positions 524 to 776 of the family's 1533-position model. The record is from RNAcentral.